AUAGGAGACUUUAAUGUUAUAGCUAAUCCUUCGAUGAAGAAUAGUAGCACUGUAUCAAAGCAUUGUCGUAUGGCUACCUUUUCGAAUCAUGUUAAAUGUUGUGGCUUAAUAGACAUGGGUUAUAAUGGUCCUGCCUUUACUUGGUGUAAUAAGCAUUUUACUUCCAUUCCUACUCAUGAGCAUCUUGAUCGUUGCUUUGCUAAUGCAUAAUGGUGUAAUGAAUUUCCUAAUACCGUUGUUUACAACCUCCCAAUUAUGUACAGUGAUCAUGCACCAAUUCUAAUGAUAUCCAUACCGAUGACAAUAAAAACCAAAAGAACUUAA
This 324-nucleotide ribosomal RNA is filed under the name Triticum aestivum (bread wheat). Its description in RNAcentral is "partial small subunit ribosomal RNA". Lineage: Eukaryota; Viridiplantae; Streptophyta; Magnoliopsida; Poales; Poaceae. The record is from RNAcentral.